Long non-coding RNA from Erinaceus europaeus (western European hedgehog), 708 nucleotides. RefSeq lists it as uncharacterized. NCBI's taxonomy places the organism in Eukaryota, Metazoa, Chordata, Mammalia, Eulipotyphla, Erinaceidae. The transcript has 3 exons. The record is from RefSeq and is a predicted model, not a curated record.
GGGACUUUGGAGCCUCAGGCAUGAGAAUCUGUUUGCAUAACCAUUAUGCUAUCGCCCCCCCCCUUUUAAAAAACUGAAAUUUAACCAAUCUCCCUCCUAUACCAAAUGACUUCUCUUAAUGACCUGUGAAUUUGAAAAAACAAACAAGCAAAAUUAGUCACUGUGGUCAUUCAGACAUUAUUUCCAAGGUACCAGCACUAUGGGCAAAGCCAGCCAAGGACUCCUUUGAAGCAGCUGCACCCAGUGACAACCUCCUCUUUGGAAAAUCCCCCAAGAGGGACAGGCAAGGCCUCAGCUCUUUUGGGAGCAGACACAGGAGAUGAAGGAAAAAAAAAAAAAAAACCCAAGUGAGUGCACGAGAGAUACAAAUGGAUCGUUUGGUGAAGAAAUCCGUCUUCGUCACUGCCGCCAGGCUGGGAUUAAUGCGAUUGAAGGCUCCUCCAGGCUCCGCCAGGGAGACGGGCUCAGGAAAGCAAGAGAAAUUGUUCUCCAGGUUUCAUCUGUUGAAGUGCUGCCAAGCACCUGCCCAAGCCCAGUGGUGCUCCUUCACCUGUCCUUUCCCUGGGCUGUCAGCUGGCAGAGCAGUCCCCUUCCUGGUGCACCGGAGUGUCCGCAUUACUCACAGGAGCUUACGGUUCACGGCUGCUUUGCACUGCAGAUAUUUGUGUUUGGCUUCAGUAGGAUCAUAAUAAAUGCUUACAGAAAGAA